Molecule: ribosomal RNA, 511 nt
Filed under: uncultured bacterium
Lineage: Bacteria
Description: bacterial SSU rRNA
Rfam family: Bacterial small subunit ribosomal RNA
Source: RNAcentral
GAGUUUGAUCGUGGCUCAGAUUGAACGCUGGCGGCAGGCCUAACACAUGCAAGUCGAGCGGUAGAGAGAAGCUUGCUUCUCUUGAGAGCGGCGGACGGGUGAGUAAUGCCUAGGAAUCUGCCUGGUAGUGGGGGAUAACGCUCGGAAACGGACGCUAAUACCGCAUACGUCCUACGGGAGAAAGCAGGGGACCUUCGGGCCUUGCGCUAUCAGAUGAGCCUAGGUCGGAUUAGCUAGUUGGUGAGGUAAUGGCUCACCAAGGCGACGAUCCGUAACUGGUCUGAGAGGAUGAUCAGUCACACUGGAACUGAGACACGGUCCAGACUCCUACGGAGGCAGCAGUGGGGAAUAUUGGACAAUGGGCGAAAGCCUGAUCCAGCCAUGCCGCGUGUGUGAAGAAGGUCUUCGGAUUGUAAAGCACUUUAAGUUGGGAGGAAGGGCAGUAAAUUAAUACUUUGCUGUUUUGACGUUACCGACAGAAUAAGCACCGGCUAACUACUGUGCCAGCACG